ACUGAGCGGCGGACGGGUGAGUAACGCGUGGGUAACCUGCCUUACACAGGGGGAUAACAGUUAGAAAUGACUGCUAAUACCGCAUAAGACCCCGGUACCGCAUGGUACAGAGGUAAAAACUGAGGUGGUGUAAGAUGGACCCGCGUCUGAUUAGGUAGUUGGUGAGGUAACGGCUCACCAAGCCGACGAUCAGUAGCCGGCCUGAGAGGGUGGACGGCCACAUUGGGACUGAGACACGGCCCAAACUCCUACGGAAGGCAGCAG
Molecule: ribosomal RNA, 264 nt
Filed under: uncultured bacterium
Lineage: Bacteria
Description: partial 16S ribosomal RNA
Rfam family: Bacterial small subunit ribosomal RNA
Source: RNAcentral